RNAcentral lists this ribosomal RNA (467 nucleotides) under uncultured bacterium. RNAcentral describes it as "partial 16S ribosomal RNA". It matches the Rfam family "Bacterial small subunit ribosomal RNA", at positions 28 to 507 of the family's 1533-position model. The record is from RNAcentral.
GACGAACGCUGGCGGCGUGCUUAACACAUGCAAGUCGAACGGAAAGGCCCUGCUUUUGUGGGGUGCUCGAGUGGCGAACGGGUGAGUAACACGUGAGUAACCUGCCCUUGACUUUGGGAUAACUUCAGGAAACUGGGGCUAAUACCGGAUAGGAGCUCCUGCUGCAUGGUGGGGGUUGGAAAGUUUCGGCGGUUGGGGAUGGACUCGCGGCUUAUCAGCUUGUUGGUGGGGUAGUGGCUUACCAAGGCUUUGACGGGUAGCCGGCCUGAGAGGGUGACCGGCCACAUUGGGACUGGGAUACGGCCCAGACUCCACGGGAGGCAGCAGUGGGGAAUAUUGCACAAUGGGCGGAAGCCUGAUGCAGCAACGCCGCGUGCGGGAUGACGGCCUUCGGGUUGUAAACCGCUUUCGCCUGUGACGAAGCGUGAGUGACGGUAAUGGGUAAAGAAGCACCGGCUAACUACGUG